CCCUUAGAUGUUCUGGGCCGCACGCGCGCUACACUGACGAAUGCAACGAGCUUAUAACCUUGGCCGAAAGGUCUGGGUAAUCUCCAAAUUUCGUCGUGAUGGGGAUAGAUUAUUGCAAUUAUUAAUCUUCAACGAGGAAUGCCUAGUAAGCGCAAGUCAUCAGCUUGCGUUGAUUACGUCCCUGCCCUUUGUACACACCGCCCGUCGCUCCUACCGAUUGAAUGGCCCGGUGAAGCGCUCGGACCGCGGCCUCUUGACGGUUCGCUGUCGAUUGGCUGUGGGAAGUUCGUUAAACCUUAUCAUUUAGAGGAAGGAGAAGUCGUAACA
Molecule: ribosomal RNA, 327 nt
Filed under: uncultured eukaryote
Lineage: Eukaryota
Description: partial 18S ribosomal RNA
Rfam family: Eukaryotic small subunit ribosomal RNA
Source: RNAcentral